This is a non-coding RNA of Notechis scutatus (mainland tiger snake), 460 nucleotides long. The record is from RefSeq and is a predicted model, not a curated record. Lineage: Eukaryota; Metazoa; Chordata; Lepidosauria; Squamata; Elapidae.
CAUGAUUGUUAAAUGAAUCUGGCUUCCCUAUUAACUUUGCUUGUCAGAAGGCGAUUUGCAUGGCACCUGAGACAUUGCAACCGUGAUAACUAUGAGUCAGUUGCCAAGCAUCUGAAUUUUGAUCACAUGACCGUGGAGAUGCAACGAUGCUUUUUAAGUGUGAAAACUAGUGAUAAGUCACCUUUUUCAGUGCUGUUGUAACUUCAAAAGGUCACUAAAUGAACUGUUGUAAGUGAAGGACUCCCCUAUUUCUAAAAUAACUUUAGGUAAGCUGCCAUUUCCCCCAGUUUGGAUUAAAUAGGGCACAAGGCCCAACAUUUCAAAGCCUUUCCUUGCCAUGAUUGGGAUAUUGACUCAAGGUCUCAACUAAUGUAGCAGAUCAGCCUUAGAUAUGUAUCAACUACAAUUAAUCUUGGGUCUGGGAUAAACCAAUUUAAGAAUGCAAGCAGAGGUUGGAAUU